UGUGCAUUCAUGAGGUGAAUUCCUUGGAAGAUGAGGGCCAAGUCUUAUUCUUCUCAGUCUCUUCUGCAUCUAGCAGAAGAAUAAUGGUUGCACAGAAAAUCUUGGUUCAGUGGUUGAGUGAAUGAAUGGAUGAACAGGCUCUUGCACACAAAGAAGAGACAUGAUGUAUUUGCAUCCUUCCCUGCUUCAGCCAGUUUUCUGAAGCUCAGAGGGACACCUUGUAUUGCUGGAUGAUAAAAACAGGAGCAAAGUGAUGAAGUGCUGACAAGGCAACAAUAGAACAUGAGAGAUUCACUGCUGUGUAGGAAGAGAUCUUCGGUGACCAUGUAGCCUGAAGCUCUCAUUUUGUCAUCGAGGGACACCAAAACUCAGAACAGUGCUAAGCUCCUACAUCCUGUUCUGGAAGGACAAUCCUGAGCACACGAUGAGCCAUAUAAACUUCAGACUGACGCUGAGUGAAAGAAUGCUGGAAAAGCAUCACAGGCCAGGGCAGCAAAGUCUUCAAGGUCAUCCGUGCUCUGAUGAUGUCACGCUUCUUCCCUGUCUGGAAGACAUUUCCCCAAGAGCAUACCACCAACAUCAGGGAAAUGGAAUCCAACUGGUCGCUGCAAAGUUUGCUGAGCACACAGUGAUAAAGAUGGCAAGAAGGUCCUGAGAGAAACGCAAUAUUUUUGUGCAGAAUGGGAUGUUCUGCCUUUGUCCCAUGCUUUGAA
This 713-nucleotide long non-coding RNA is filed under the name Homo sapiens (human). RNAcentral's name for it is "non-protein coding lnc-F3-7:18". Lineage: Eukaryota; Metazoa; Chordata; Mammalia; Primates; Hominidae. The record is from RNAcentral.